Molecule: ribosomal RNA, 253 nt
Filed under: uncultured bacterium
Lineage: Bacteria
Description: partial 16S ribosomal RNA
Rfam family: Bacterial small subunit ribosomal RNA
Source: RNAcentral
UACGAAGGGAGCUAGCGUUGUUCGGAAUCACUGGGCGUAAAGCGCCCGUAGGCGGAUGUGUCAGUCAGGGGUGAAAUCCCGGAGCUCAACUUCGGAACUGCCUUUGAUACAGCACGUCUUGAGUCCGGAAGAGGUGGGUGGAAUUCCUAGCGUAGAGGUGAAAUUCGUAGAUAUUAGGAAGAACACCGGUGGCGAAGGCGGCCCACUGGUCCGGUACUGACGCUGAGGUGCGAAAGCGUGGGGAGCAAACAGG